UACAGAGGUCCCAAGCGUUGUUCGGAUUCACUGGGCGUAAAGGGUGCGUAGGCGGUCGGGUAAGUCUGAUGUGAAAUCUCACAGCUUGACUGUGAAACUGCAUUGGAUACUAUUCGGCUUGAGAGUUGGAGGGGGGACUGGAAUUCUUGGUGUAGCAGUGAAAUGCGUAGAUAUCAAGAGGAACACCAGUGGCGAAGGCGAGUCCCUGGACAACUUCUGACGCUGAGGCACGAAAGCUAGGGGAGCAAACAGG
This 253-nucleotide ribosomal RNA is filed under the name uncultured bacterium. RNAcentral's name for it is "partial 16S ribosomal RNA". It matches the Rfam family "Bacterial small subunit ribosomal RNA", at positions 524 to 776 of the family's 1533-position model. The record is from RNAcentral.